This 145-nucleotide ribosomal RNA is filed under the name uncultured eukaryote. RNAcentral's name for it is "partial small subunit ribosomal RNA". It matches the Rfam family "Bacterial small subunit ribosomal RNA", at positions 1383 to 1525 of the family's 1533-position model. The record is from RNAcentral.
GUACACACCGCCCGUCACAUCAUGAAAGCCGGUUUUGCCCGAAGUACGUGAGCUAACCCCUCGGGGAGGCAGCGUCCUACGGUGAGGCUGGUGAUUGGGAUGAAGUCGUAACAAGGUAGCCGUAGGUGAACCUGCAGAAGGAUCA